AUUCCUUCCUGAAGAGGGCCGCCGACUAUAGCACAUGUUUGGCGGGUCUAGGAGGAAGCACAGUGAGGGGUUUUCUGCCCUCUGCUUCACCUUUUGACGUCAGAGGCCGAAAUCGCCGCCCCCUGAUGACGCUAGUGCCGCCAUUUUCUGAACGCGGCUGUGUUGACGUAGGAGGAAGCUCGACUGCGCACGCGCGCACAUCUCCCUUUACAAAUAUUCAAGCAUGGCCACUCCGCAGGCUGUGGACCCUUUAUGGGACAUAAAGCUGCUCAUCCUUCAGUUGCCGUGGUUGUAGACCUUCCUGGUUUCCUCACUCAGGAAAGGAAGAGUUUGAACGACACAAGCUCCAAAGGCUGUUCAAGCUUUAAAACAUCUAAAUAUGAAGCACAAGUGAAACUUUUUAUGCUGAGAAUUUCUGACCUGUUAUGUUUUAGAAGACUUAGAGAAAUGGUGUUAAAUCUUCGUAAGAAUCACAGUCCCUAUGAAAUCUAUGUAAUCAAAUUGAGUAAAUGUAUUAAGACCAUUUUAAGAGCACUUCCACUGGAAAGGAAGGAAGGAGAGCCUGGUGGAUGGAGGUUGUUUUACAGACCAACCUAAAAUUUACAGCUGGCCUCAGGUUGCUUUUAUAAUUCACACAAGCUCAAAGUUCUUGGAAUUCAAAUGAGAAGAGACACCCCAGCUAGUCAUCAGGAAGGCAAGAGAACAGAACGCAGAAGAGCGAAUGCCCCAUACUGCUCUUCCCUGUCCACGCCCACUGUCAUCCUCCCAGCUACCGGUGAUCCAAUCCGACAAACCCUGGCCCCUUUGGAACACCAGGCUUUACUUUCUCCAUACUUGCCCAUGAAAACACAUAGAGUAUACAAACAUUCCACUGCCGGAUCUCACAGAAGACCCAUGCCCUAGGCUGGCAGAAGAAAUUAGCUUUAAUUUGGAGAUGGAGCAACUGAAGCACAAUAAUUUUAAAUGAGUAGCUGGCUCAGUGGAAAUUAAACCCAGAGCUUCUGUGUUCUAACUUAGUAUUUAGACUUCUAAAUGACAUAUCUUCUGUUUUCUGUAUUUUGAGAUCUGUUUAUAGGAGCAUUUAAAUGUAGCUUUGAGACAAGAAUAAUGAAUUUAUCAGGCUAUAAACAUUUGGUGCUCAAUAAAUGUUUGUAAAAUGAGUGAAUAAAUGACGUUUUAAGGACAAAAAGAUUGCAUUUAUAUAUUGCAAUUCUAUAUGAAUAAGCCAGCUAACUUGUGAGAUUUGGACUUUUCUUUACCUACAGUUGUUUCUGAAGUCACCUUCUUACUUGGCUAAAACAACUCCAGUUAAAAUAUAUGAUCUGUUACAAGCCAUUGAUUUUAGAAAGAGAAAGUGGUUCAUAUUCAUGUAUUCCAUUGCUAAGUGCAGCUGUAUGUACCGUGCCCUCCCUUUACUAAACUGACAUCCUCACAGGAAAUACUAUUAACAUUCUGACAUUAAAAUGAACUUACCCUCA
Microcebus murinus (gray mouse lemur) is the source of this 1478-nucleotide non-coding RNA. Lineage: Eukaryota; Metazoa; Chordata; Mammalia; Primates; Cheirogaleidae. The record is from RefSeq and is a predicted model, not a curated record.